This 84-nucleotide microRNA precursor is filed under the name Bombyx mori (domestic silkworm). RNAcentral's name for it is "mir-2807 microRNA precursor family". It matches the Rfam family "mir-2807 microRNA precursor family". Lineage: Eukaryota; Metazoa; Arthropoda; Insecta; Lepidoptera; Bombycidae. The record is from Rfam by way of RNAcentral.
UUAACUCAAUUUUGUAUGCAGUUGGAACAGCGCCCCUAGCGGUAAACGUAGGCAAACGUUCCAACUCCAUACAAAUUUUAGUUA